RNAcentral lists this long non-coding RNA (292 nucleotides) under Hordeum vulgare. RNAcentral describes it as "long non-coding RNA (HVUL_LNC003461)". Lineage: Eukaryota; Viridiplantae; Streptophyta; Magnoliopsida; Poales; Poaceae. The record is from RNAcentral.
AAUUAUUGUUUCGGGGCACUUCUGGAACUCAAAUCAAAAAACUCAGAACAUAAUACAGAAAGACAAUUAUAUAGGUCAUGCUGUCAAAAAACUUCAGAUCAAAAAUAUGAUCGGGUGAUAUUUGCCGAAUUUUUCCGUCAAGCAGACAAAAUCUGUUUCUGGACAGCAUGUCGCAACUUUUGAACUUUCUUGCAAUCGGAGGCUAAAACUUGGCACAAAGCUUGUAGAUAAAGAUAGAAUGAUGUUUCUACAGUAGUAAAAAUCAUAAAUACCACUAAAACUUAAAAUAAAA